GAGGGCCGCCCGCGCCCCGUCCGCCCCUGCACCUCCCGCAGGGAAGGGGCAGCAGCCCGCGGGCCGCAACCCUCAGCCAGCUGGUGCUCUGCAGGAAAAUCCACACUCCCCAUCAGCGGCUGCCUUGCCAAAGAAAUAAACUGCUGCUCAGGUGGUAGAAGUCUCUCUAUGCCGCCCUCCUGAGGCAAGGGAGAACCUUUCCAAUUUCAGAGUGUAAGUGGAAGAAGCACGAAACCAUUUUGAGUUGAUAAGUGCUGAAAAUACUCAGGGAAAAAGGCUUGAAGGCAAGUACCAAACGAGGAUGGAAGAGGCAAGAUGGAUACCAUUGUCGUGAUCCUGAGGAGACUCCUCUGGGAUUUGGUGAAGUGGCCGAGAGGGAGCAGGUUGCCAGCCACGAACUGACACUGGGCAGACAGCACAGCUUGGUCCUUCCUUGCAGGGUCACAUCGAGCUGGGAAGAGGCUUUGGAAACCCAACAGGCAGCCUGGCUCCUGCUGUCAGUGAAAAUACUGCAAAAAGCUCCUACUUCCUCAUGUGAUGAACAGACCUCUCCUGGGUAAUCCCUUGAACUGAGGAAGGUGUUGCAGAAACCUGAGUCAUAAUAUACACUUCUUGCUAUCUUGGACAGUGGACGCCAAUGGGAAAGGGGCAUUAACAACACCACUGUAUGUACAAACAGAGAUAUUUAACAUGCAGCCUGCUUGGAAGGGCUUCAUAAUUCCCCUCACUCCUUAUAUUAACUUGUUCACUGGGGACAUUUAAUUCUUCUAGAAACUUCAGAGCAAGAUGAUUUGAAAUUAACAAAUACUGCAAGUGUAAUGACUUCUAUGCAUCAAAAUGGAUCCAGAUUUGCCUAUUUACUUCAGGGUCAGUCAGAUCUGUUUUCCCAUCAUAACGUAUUUGACAUUGAGGCUGCCUCAUAUUAAAAAUAAAAAACUCAAAGGCAAAAGAAAAUACUCACCAUAUUCAUUGUUAAUAAAUGUCUAAACCAGAAGACAACAAGACAAAUAAUGCCAAUAUCCAGAAACUCUAAGAGGCUUAUCUAAGCAUUAUUAUUAUCCCUUCAAAAUACAGAUAUUCUAGCCUCAAUACAGAACACAAAUUAGAAAAAAAUGCAGCAUUUCUCUACAAAUAAAACAGUU
This is a long non-coding RNA of Pipra filicauda (Wire-tailed manakin), 1142 nucleotides long. RefSeq lists it as uncharacterized. Lineage: Eukaryota; Metazoa; Chordata; Aves; Passeriformes; Pipridae. The record is from RefSeq and is a predicted model, not a curated record. The transcript has 5 exons.